GUGGGGAAUAUUGGGCAAUGGGCGCAAGCCUGACCCAGCAACGCCGCGUGAAGGAAGAAGGCUUUCGGGUUGUAAACUUCUUUUGACAGGGAAGAGUAGAAGACGGUACCUGUCGAAUAAGCCACGGCUAACUACGUGCCAGCAGCCGCGGUAAUACGUAGGUGGCAAGCGUUGUCCGGAUUUACUGGGUGUAAAGGGCGUGUAGCCGGGUUGACAAGUCAGAUGUGAAAUCCUGCGGCUUAACCGCAGAACUGCAUUUGAAACUGUUGAUCUUGAGUACUGGAGAGGCAGACGGAAUUCCUAGUGUAGCGGUGAAAUGCGUAGAUAUUAGGAGGAACACCAGUGGCGAAGGCGGUCUGCUGGACAGCAACUGACGGUGAGGCGCGAAAGCGUGGGGAGCAAACAGGA
RNAcentral lists this ribosomal RNA (408 nucleotides) under uncultured bacterium. RNAcentral's name for it is "bacterial SSU rRNA". It matches the Rfam family "Bacterial small subunit ribosomal RNA", at positions 354 to 777 of the family's 1533-position model. The record is from RNAcentral.